Molecule: ribosomal RNA, 253 nt
Filed under: uncultured bacterium
Lineage: Bacteria
Description: partial 16S ribosomal RNA
Rfam family: Bacterial small subunit ribosomal RNA
Source: RNAcentral
UACGUAGGAUCCAAGCGUUGUCCGGAUUUACUGGGUGUAAAGGGUGCGCAGGCGGUCUGGUUAGUCUGGGGUGAAAUCUCAUCGCUUAACGGUGAAACUGCCUUAGAUACUGCCAGUCUUGAAUCAGCGAGAGGUUCGUGGAAUUCCGAGUGUAGCAGUGAAAUGUGUAGAUAUUCGGAAGAACACCAGUGGCGAAGGCAGCGAACUGGCGCUCGAUUGACGCUCAGGCACGAAAGCAUGGGGAUCAAGCAGG